Molecule: ribosomal RNA, 1609 nt
Filed under: Escherichia coli
Lineage: Bacteria; Pseudomonadati; Pseudomonadota; Gammaproteobacteria; Enterobacterales; Enterobacteriaceae
Description: partial 23S ribosomal RNA
Rfam family: Bacterial large subunit ribosomal RNA
Source: RNAcentral
GGUUCCUGUCCAACGUUAAUCGGGGCAGGGUGAGUCGACCCCUAAGGCGAGGCCGAAAGGCGUAGUCGAUGGGAAACAGGUUAAUAUUCCUGUACUUGGUGUUACUGCGAAGGGGGGACGGAGAAGGCUAUGUUGGCCGGGCGACGGUUGUCCCGGUUUAAGCGUGUAGGCUGGUUUUCCAGGCAAAUCCGGAAAACCAAGGCUGAGGCGUGAUGACGAGGCACUACGGUGCUGAAGUGACAAAUGCCCUGCUUCCAGGAAAAGCCUCUAAGCAUCAGGUAACAUCAAAUCGUACCCCAAACCGACACAGGUGGUCAGGUAGAGAAUACCAAGGCGCUUGAGAGAACUCGGGUGAAGGAACUAGGCAAAAUGGUGCCGUAACUUCGGGAGAAGGCACGCUGAUAUGUAGGUGAAGCGACUUGCUCGUGGAGCUGAAAUCAGUCGAAGAUACCAGCUGGCUGCAACUGUUUAUUAAAAACACAGCACUGUGCAAACACGAAAGUGGACGUAUACGGUGUGACGCCUGCCCGGUGCCGGAAGGUUAAUUGAUGGGGUUAGCGGUAACGCGAAGCUCUUGAUCGAAGCCCCGGUAAACGGCGGCCGUAACUAUAACGGUCCUAAGGUAGCGAAAUUCCUUGUCGGGUAAGUUCCGACCUGCACGAAUGGCGUAAUGAUGGCCAGGCUGUCUCCACCCGAGACUCAGUGAAAUUGAACUCGCUGUGAAGAUGCAGUGUACCCGCGGCAAGACGGAAAGACCCCGUGAACCUUUACUAUAGCUUGACACUGAACAUUGAGCCUUGAUGUGUAGGAUAGGUGGGAGGCUUUGAAGUGUGGACGCCAGUCUGCAUGGAGCCGACCUUGAAAUACCACCCUUUAAUGUUUGAUGUUCUAACGUUGGCCCCUAAUCGGGGUUGCGGACAGUGUCUGGUGGGUAGUUUGACUGGGGCGGUCUCCUCCUAAAGAGUAACGGAGGAGCACGAAGGUUGGCUAAUCCUGGUCGGACAUCAGGAGGUUAGUGCAAUGGCAUAAGCCAGCUUGACUGCGAGCGUGACGGCGCGAGCAGGUGCGAAAGCAGGUCAUAGUGAUCCGGUGGUUCUGAAUGGAAGGGCCAUCGCUCAACGGAUAAAAGGUACUCCGGGGAUAACAGGCUGAUACCGCCCAAGAGUUCAUAUCGACGGCGGUGUUUGGCACCUCGAUGUCGGCUCAUCACAUCCUGGGGCUGAAGUAGGUCCCAAGGGUAUGGCUGUUCGCCAUUUAAAGUGGUACGCGAGCUGGGUUUAGAACGUCGUGAGACAGUUCGGUCCCUAUCUGCCGUGGGCGCUGGAGAACUGAGGGGGGCUGCUCCUAGUACGAGAGGACCGGAGUGGACGCAUCACUGGUGUUCGGGUUGUCAUGCCAAUGGCACUGCCCGGUAGCUAAAUGCGGAAGAGAUAAGUGCUGAAAGCAUCUAAGCACGAAACUUGCCCCGAGAUGAGUUCUCCCUGAGACUUAGAGUCUCCUGAAGGAACGUUGAAGACGACGACGUUGAUAGGCCGGGUGUGUAAGCGCAGCGAUGCGUUGAGCUAACCGGUACUAAUGAACCGUGAGGCUUAACCUUACAACGCCGAAG